GACGAACGCUGGCGGCGUGCUUAACACAUGCAAGUCGAACGGAAAGGCGCUGCUUUUGUGGGGUGCUCGAGUGGCGAAGGGGAGAGUAACAUGUGAGUAACCUGCCCUGGACUUUGGGACAACUUCAGGAAACUGGGGCUAAUACCGGAUAGGAGCUUCUGCUUCAUGGUGGUGGUUGGACAGGUUCGGCUGUUGGGGAUGGACUCGCGGCUUAUCAGCUUGUUGGUGGGGUAGUUGCUUACCAAGGCUUUGACGGGUAGCCGGCCUGAGAGGGUGACCGGCCACAUUGGGACUGAGAUACGGCCCAGACUCCUACGGGAGGCAGCAGUGGGGAAUAUUGUACAGUGGGCGGGAGCCUGAUGCGGCAGCGCCGCGUGCGGGAUGAAGGCCUUCGGGUUGUAAAGCGCUUUCGCCUGUGACGAAGCGUGAGUGACGGUAAUGGGUAAAGAAGCACCGGCUAACUACGUG
Molecule: ribosomal RNA, 468 nt
Filed under: uncultured bacterium
Lineage: Bacteria
Description: partial 16S ribosomal RNA
Rfam family: Bacterial small subunit ribosomal RNA
Source: RNAcentral